Molecule: non-coding RNA, 50 nt
Filed under: Trichobilharzia regenti
Lineage: Eukaryota; Metazoa; Platyhelminthes; Trematoda; Strigeidida; Schistosomatidae
Source: RNAcentral
AUUCAGUUGAUGAGUUCCACAUAGGACGAAAUGCGCACAUCAAGCUGGAU